RNAcentral lists this ribosomal RNA (465 nucleotides) under uncultured bacterium. RNAcentral describes it as "bacterial SSU rRNA". It matches the Rfam family "Bacterial small subunit ribosomal RNA", at positions 338 to 795 of the family's 1533-position model. The record is from RNAcentral.
CCUACGGGAGGCACCAGUGGGGAAUAUUGCACAAUGGGCGCAAGCCUGAUGCAGCCAUGCCGCGUGUAUGAAGAAGGCCUUCGGGUUGUAAGGUACUUUCAGCGGGGAGGAAGGUGUUGUGGUUAAUAACCACAGCAAUUGACGUUACCCGCAGGAGAAGCACCGGCUAACUCCGUGCCAGCAGCCGCGGUAAUACGGAGGGUGCAAGCGUUAAUCGGAAUUACUGGGCGUAAGGCGCACGCAGGCGGUCUGUCAAGUCGGAUAUGAAAUCCCCGGGCUCAACCUGGGAACUGCAUUCGAAACUGGCAGGCUAGAGUCUUGUAGAGGGGGGUAGAAUUCCAGGUGUAGCGGUGAAAUGCGUAGAGAUCUGGAGGAAUACCGGUGGCGAAGGCGGCCCCCUGGACAAAGACUGACGCUCAGGUGCGAAAGCGUGGGGAGCAAACAGGAUUAGAUACCCCAGUAGUC